RNAcentral lists this ribosomal RNA (326 nucleotides) under Belisana akebona. Its description in RNAcentral is "partial 12S ribosomal RNA". Lineage: Eukaryota; Metazoa; Arthropoda; Arachnida; Araneae; Pholcidae. The record is from RNAcentral.
UCAUUAUUCUCCUUAGUAGUAUUAAAAUAAAAAACUCAUACAUAGUGGCGGUCUUAAUAUAUUAGAGAAACUCGCUUAUUAAUCGAUAACACCCGAUAAAUCCCACUAAAUUUAAAAGCUUAUAUACCGCCGUUUCAGAAUUUAUUUUAAAAUAUAAUUCCAUAAAUCUUUAAAUAAAAAAUCAGGUCAAGGUGUAGCAAAUAAUUUAGGUUAAGUAAGUUACACUAAACAUUAUUUAAGGAUAAAAUAAUAAUAUUAUAAUUUGAAAAAGAAUCUAAAUGUACCUUAGAAUUAAUUUCUCGAACUGAAAUACACCAUUAAGACGC